GACGAACGCUGGCGGCGUGCUUAACACAUGCAAGUCGAGCGGUAAGGCCCUUCGGGGUACACGAGCGGCGAACGGGUGAGUAACACGUGGGUGACCUGCCUCUAGCUCUGGGAUAAGCCUGGGAAACUGGGUCUAAUACCGGAUAUGACUCCACGGCGCAUGUUGUGGGGUGGAAAGCCUUGUGUGGCUAGAGAUGGGCCCGCGGCCUAUCAGCUUGUUGGUGGGGUGAUGGCCUACCAAGGCGACGACGGGUAGCCGGCCUGAGAGGGCGACCGGCCACACUGGGACUGAGACACGGCCCAGACUCCUACGGGAGGCAGCAGUGGGGAAUCUUGCGCAAUGGGCGAAAGCCUGACGCAGCGACGCCGCGUGAGGGAUGACGGCCU
RNAcentral lists this ribosomal RNA (386 nucleotides) under uncultured bacterium. RNAcentral's name for it is "bacterial SSU rRNA". It matches the Rfam family "Bacterial small subunit ribosomal RNA", at positions 28 to 417 of the family's 1533-position model. The record is from RNAcentral.